RNAcentral lists this long non-coding RNA (275 nucleotides) under Elaeis guineensis (African oil palm). RNAcentral describes it as "long non-coding RNA (EGUI_LNC018767)". Lineage: Eukaryota; Viridiplantae; Streptophyta; Magnoliopsida; Arecales; Arecaceae. The record is from RNAcentral.
UGCCUCUGACCUCAUCCUUGGCCUCCUUGGUCCUCAUCUGUCUUGAACUUCGCCACGAUCCCCUCCAUUGAGCUUUCGACCACCACCACAUGGGAUAGUGGAUCACGAUGGUGGCAUCCAUCGGAUCACAGCUACAUGGCAACGAGAUCCAUAACUUCUACCCCACUUCAACCCAUGACAGCCAGUGCCUUGGAGCAACAAGGGAAUCGGAUGCAAAUGGUGGAGUUGGCGUGCAUGACGGUGGAGAAGUGGGUGGAGAGGGGAAGGCUGUUAUC